AAGCAUUAAAUGAAUGCCUAAACAUCAAAAAAUAUUACGGACGUUUAACGACGAAAUGUUGUAGCGAGUGUUAUUAAACGCUGAGACCUACAGAUAUCCGUAUCGGAAAACCGAGCUUCGAUAAUGAAGCUUUUUUAUGAAAAUAUGUUUUAUAUAAUCGUAAAAAUUUUAAAACUUGGCGAACUGAACCAUCUAAGUAGCUAAGUAAAAAAAUCAACCGAGAAAUCGUUAGUAGUGGCGAGCGAAAAUGAUAAAGACUUAAAACAACAAAAUCCGUUUUUUGAAUCCAAAGAGCCAUAGAAGGUAACAUUUAUAUGAAGCCCUGUAAAUUAAACUCUUGUUGUUUUUUUAGUAAAACGGUACAAGUCAUGUACUGUUUGAAGAUUGGGGGACCACCCUCAAAGUCUAGAAAAUUUUGAUGAUUAAUAGUGUAUUAGUACCGUGAGGGAAAGGUGAAAUAAGAAUUUAGUGAAAUAAAUUUGAAAAAAUACUGAAAUUUAAUGCUGACAAGCAGUUGAAGCUUUUUUAAAUAACAAAAGUGACAACGUACCUUUUGCAUAAUGGAUCAACGAGUUUAUUUUAGUGGCGAGCUUAAACAUAUGUGUAGGCGAAAAAAAAUUAAGUUUUAAAAAGCUUUUAAGUCUCUAAAGUAAGACCCGAAACUAAGUGAUCUAACCAUGAGCAGGUUGAAUUUAUAGCGGUAACGCUUAUUGGAGGACCGAACCCGUGUAUGUAGAAAAAUACUGGGAUGACUUGUGGUUAGGGGUGAAAGGCCAAUCAAACUUAGAGAUAGCUGGUUUUCUGCGAAAUCUAUUUAAGUAGAGCGUCCAAAAACUUUACUCUGGGGUAGAGCACUCGAUAAAUGAUGGGAACGUAAAGUUUUACUGAAUUUAAUGAAACUCCGAAUACUAGGUAAAAGAUAUUGGACAGACAGACUAUGAGUGCUAAGAUUCAUAGUCAAGAGGGAAACAGCCCAGACUAUUCGUUAAGGUCCCCAAAAGUAGUUAAGUGAAAAAGUUGUGAAAAAUUAAAAACAAUCGGUAGGUAGGCUUGGAAGCAGCCAUCCUUUAAAGAAAGCGUAACAGCUCACUGGUUUAGAUUUUUUGCGGCGAAAAUGUAUAGGGGCUAAAACUACUUACCGAAACGAUAGAUUUAAAUAUUUUAAAUGGUAGCAGAACGUUCUGUAAAUCAAAGAAGAUUUAUGGUGACAUAAAUUGAAGAAAUCAGAAUUGAAAAUGUUGAUAUGAGUAGCGAUAAACAGUGUGUAAAACACUGUCGCCUUAAGUUCAAGGUUUCCGAGACAAGGCUAAUCCGUCUCGGGUUAAUCGGUCCCUAAGAAUAUAACGAAAGUUUUUUUUGAUGGGUGAAUAUAUAAAUUUUAUAUUUUUGUGUGAAUGACAAAGUAUGAAAACUAUUUCUAUUUCAAGGUUAUAAUAGGAGUUUUUGAUUAUUUUCAAGAAAUAGUUCACACAAUUAAAAAACCGUACUGUAAACCGACACAGGUGAACAUAUUGAGUAAAUUAAGGCGCUUGGGUGAAUUGUGUUGAAGGAACUCGGCAAAAUGACUCCGUAACUUCGGGAGAAGGAGUGGCUUUUGUAGGGCAACCUAUAAAAGCUGUCACAAAAUCAAGGACAGCGACUGGUUAAUAAAACCACAGGUCUCUGCAAAGUUGUAAUAUGAUGUAUAGAGACUGACGCCUGCCCGGUGCUGCAAGUAUAAUAGAAAAAGUUAAGGCUUUGACUAGAAACCCCAGUAAACGGCGGCUGUAACUCUGACGGUCCAAAGGUAGCGAAAUUCCUUGGCAUUUAAUUGGUGUCCUGCAUGAAUGGCGUAACGACUGUCCUACUGUCUCCAACACAACCUCAGUGAAAUUGAAUUCUCCGUGAAGAUGCGGAGUACCUACGGCUAGACGGAAAGACCCCGUGCACCUUUACUAUAGUUAUGUAUUGUAAUAAAAACUUUUAUGUGUAGAAUAUGUGGGAAGUCAUUUUAAGAUGUUUACGCAAGUAAAUAAUUGAGACGUCAGUGAAAUACCACUCUUAAAAUUUUUUAUUACUCAUUUUUUAAGACAUUGCAUAAUGGGUAGUUUGACUGGGGCGGUCGCCUCCUAAAGAGUAACGGAGGCGUACAAAGGUAAGUUCAAAUUAAAAAAUUUUAAUUGUAGAGCGUAAUAGUAUAUUGCUUGCCUGACUGCAAGAUUGACAAAUCGAGCAGGGACGAAAGUCGGUUAUAGUGAUCCGGUGAUUCUGUGUGGAAAAGAUCAUCGCUCAACGGAUAAAAGGUACGCCGGGGAUAACAGGCUAAUCACUCUCUAGAGACCCUAUCGACGGAGUGGUUUGGCACCUCGAUGUUGGAUUAUCGCAUCCUGGAGCUGUAAGUGGUUCCAAGGGUUUGGCUGUUCGCCAAGGAAGGCGGUACAUGAUCUGAGUUUAGAACGUCGUGAGACAGUUUGGUCCCUAUCUACCGUAGGCAUUAAAAAAUUGAGAAGAUUAAACCCUAGUACGAGAGGACCGGGAAAAGUAAACCUAUGGUGUAUCGAUUGUCACACCAGUGGCAUAGUCGAGUAGCUAAGUUUAUAACAGAUAAUCGCUGAAAGCAUCUAAGCGAGAAACUGACUUUGAGAUUGAUUUUUUAAAAGACGUAGUAGAAGACUACGUGGAUAGGCUUAAUGUGUAAGAGCUGUAAAGUUUUUAGCAAAUAAGUACUAACCUC
This 2713-nucleotide ribosomal RNA is filed under the name Chaetoceros cf. neogracilis. RNAcentral's name for it is "partial Bacterial large subunit ribosomal RNA". It matches the Rfam family "Bacterial large subunit ribosomal RNA". Lineage: Eukaryota; Bacillariophyta; Thalassiosirophyceae; Chaetocerotales; Chaetocerotaceae. The record is from RNAcentral.